Molecule: ribosomal RNA, 254 nt
Filed under: uncultured bacterium
Lineage: Bacteria
Description: partial 16S ribosomal RNA
Rfam family: Bacterial small subunit ribosomal RNA
Source: RNAcentral
UACGUAGGGGCCUAACGUUGUCCGGAUUUAUUGGGCGUAAAGAGCUCGUAGGCGGUUCGGUAAGUCAGGUGUGAAAUCUCCACGCUCAACGUGGAGGCGCCACCUGAAACUGCCGUGACUAGAGUCCGGUAGGGGAGUGUGGAAUUCCCGGUGUAGCGGUGAAAUGCGUAGAUAUCGAGAGGAACACCUGCGGCGAAGGCGGGUUGCUGGGCUGACACUGACGCUGAGGCGCGAAAGCUAGGGGAGCGAACGGG